This 4729-nucleotide unclassified non-coding RNA is filed under the name Homalodisca vitripennis (glassy-winged sharpshooter). RNAcentral describes it as "ras-related protein Rab-13, transcript variant X1". Lineage: Eukaryota; Metazoa; Arthropoda; Insecta; Hemiptera; Cicadellidae. The record is from RNAcentral.
UGUCCCCAUCAACACAAGAUGGCAACCGAGUGUCAAGCUACUUACAAAGUGUUGGUGUUGGGUGACUCAAACGUCGGUAAAACUUGCAUAGUGCAUCGCUAUUGCGAUGAAAAGUACUAUGACACGUACAUCUCAACUAUCGGGAUUGAUUUUAAACAAAAAAUUAUCUACUUGGAUGGAACUCCAAUCAAGAUGCAGAUCUGGGACACAGCUGGGCAAGAACGUUUCCGGACUCUGACGACUGCAUACUAUCGUGGUGCCAUGGGUAUACUGCUCAUGUACGAUGUCACUAGCCUAGAUUCUUUCAAUAACCUGCCCUACUGGCUACAGAACAUCAAGGAGAAUGCUUCUCCGGACGUGGUGAAAGUGUUGGCAGGCAACAAGUGUGAUAGCGAGAGUCAGCGCACAGUGGACUCUGAGAUCGGACAAAAGAUAGCAGAGAGUUUCGAUAUGCCUUUCUACGAAGUGUCUUGUAAGCAGGAUGUCAACAUUGAGCAAGCCUUUCUCACCCUCGCACGACUUAUUCGUGACCAAAGAAGUAAACAGGGAGCUCUGAUGGACAGUGGACAGGUGGAAGAGGAGCAGCCGAAGAUUGAUCUGAACAAGCCUCGUCUGAUUGAGCAAGCUCUGCGAGAACAGUGGCGCUGUAAUUGCUAGCUCCGUGCCUCCAUGUACGCACUCACACGCCCACGCCGCGUUUGUUAAUUUUGUUCUGGCUUACGUUCGGUUGGUCAGCCUCCUAACUACAAUCUAGUGAAACUGAUCUCAGUUCUCGUAUUUGGAAAUAAAUGGAUGGAUAAAAAGUAUGUCCAUAUAGUCUCAUAAUAUUACAUAAAGAAUAUAAAAAUCACUUGAGAUUAUGUAAAAAUGAUUUUUUUACAGAUAAAGACAGGAAGCAAGAAGCAGAAUUAGAAUAACCUGAAAGUAGAGGGGAAGAGCAAUUACUUGGUAAUGUUCCUUUAGUAAAGUUUGUAGAAAAUCUGAUCUGGAAUAGUAGACAUAACAGCUCGGAUGAUAUCGAAUAACCAGUUUUAACACCUAAUAAGAUGUGUGUAUUUUACAAAGUAAGACACAAUUUUGACAUGUCAUUCCUAAGUUUUCUAUUAAAAUCACAAAGACUGAAGAAUAGUCAACCUAGUAGUAGGAGAGAAAAAUACAUUGCCUGUUUUUAAGUUAUUGAUGAUUAGUGACACUAUUACAAGAGAAGGUUCAAAUGCUCGAGACCUCACCUUAGGACGUGCCGAAACUGCUUACUAUUAUGCAAAAACUAAAAUUAAGUUAUCCUAAAUAGAAUUUUAUAUUAAAUUAUAAUAUUAUCUUAUUAUGUGUAUAAUGAGAUAAGAUUCAAAAGACUAUGAACAUUUCUCGUACAAUGUUUCUCUCACAGAUUGUAUUUUUAAUAUUUAUAUCAAAUAUUAGAUAGGCUAGAAUAAACCAUACUAAAAUGUCACUGUUCCAAAAUUGUGUUUUGGAAUGCCACAACAUUCAACACAGAACAAAUAUUGAUUAAGAAUCAAUUAGUUUGAUUAUUUAUCAUUUUAACUAAUGAGAACAAUAUGACAGUGUCAGGUAAGGCCUGAGGUGAGGACAGUCAGUGACUUUUGUCUCUUGAACCAAGGAGGACUAUAAUCAUUAAUGCUCUUGAGUUUUUACUAUUGCUAAAGAACUCUUUAUCUUGUUUUAUAUUUGUGUAAUGUUAGUAAUUGUUGACUGGCCAAGAUUGAAAGAUAGUUUAAUAUUUGUUUGUUACAUGUUUGCACUGUUUUGCAUUUAAACAUUUUUAAACUGAGUAAAAGUCACAUCUAGAAAGAUAUGAGCUAUGUGUAUGUUUUUAUUUAAUUACAGAUAAGUUUGAAGUGUUUCUGUGAGGUGGCACUCCACAUUGAUACUGAAAUACUUCAACAUUUUAAUUUUAUUAGCAAUACACCGACUUACUGCGAACCGGAAAACUUACAAUGUUGUUUUUACGACAUUUACAUUAACAAUACCUAAAUGACAAAAUUUGAGUAGAAAAGUAUUCAAAAAUAUACUUGCGGCUUUUUAAAAUAAAACCAUAAUUAGCUGAGUUUGAUAAUUUUUGAGAUCAUUAUCAAUUUGCAGGAAAUUGUCAUCACACUCUCUUAAGGUAGAUUGGUAUGUGAUGAUAAUUAUUGUGAUUCCAUCAUUAAAAAUACAGAAAGUUUAUAUUUUGCAUUUGUAAUUAGAAGUUCAUAUUUAUACAAUGUAAUCACUUUCAUAAAACGGAAGGAACAGAAAGAAUUUGCGUUAAUUUAAUAAACAGUUACAACGGGUUAUUUAAUAAUGUGUAAUGAAUAUUUUGAAGAGUUUAUACCUGCCAGUAAAGCUUUUUUUUCUGUAUAAAUCAAUCGCUCUAAUGAUGGAAUAUUCCCAUGGAGCAGUGUAUAGAUAAAGUAGGAGAGUAUGUGAAAAUCAGUAAAAAUUAAAUGAAAAUUUAAAAUUAUAAUAAAAUUAAGUUUAUUCAAUUUAUCUAUAUUUAUGUAGCCACACAAAUAAUUUAUAUUUUUUUUACAUACAGAUAUUUUGAGUUAGUUAUUUUUAAUUGUUAAACGUAAUAUUUCUUUUAAUUACACUACUGUAUAGUAUCUUUCAAUCACAAAACAAAUGAUUGAUUAGAUAAUUUUAGAACAGCAAACGGAAAGAGUUGCAUGUUAUUUUUAAACCAACAAACUGUAAAGAUGAAAACUAAGAUUUGUUACUCAUAUUUGAAUAAAACUAAGAAAUGAACAAGUUUGACAUUGAUAUUAUGUUGGAUUUUAUGAGUAAACAAUAAAACCAAAUAAUGCUAUCUGUUAAUCUGCUGUCCUAAGGUGAUGCAAUUUAGGGUUAUUUGUAACUAGUUAAAUCUUAAAUACAGAAAAGGAAAUUUUUGAUCACUCCACGAGCAACUAUAUGUGUUUAAUAUAUUCAGCAAUUUUGUAACCAAGGUGGAAAAAACCAAGGAUAUGAAUUUGUACAGUAUGUAUAAAUUAUGACUUAACCUUUAGAACACUGAACCUACAACUCACAACAAAAACAAAAACUUAAAUUACAAGAUUUCCUGUCAUACACGUUUUGAGCAAAUUCUAUCGCUCGAGAUUUCUCAUUAUAUGCAUGAUAAGGGUUAUGAAAGGCCAAGUGUUUUUAUGAAGCCAAAUUUGUGCCAUUUAAGAACAUGUAACUAUCUUCAGUCAUAUUUCAUAUACAAACUGCCAGAAUUUUGUAUCCUUGGGUUCAACUGUUGUUCCAUGGCCCUGAUUUCAAGAUGGCUUUCAAUACCUACAAUUCCCUGUGAAAUUAUCAAAUGUUUUUUCUACUUUUUUCAUCAAGAAAGGUAUCUCGUAUCUUAAAUGGCGGUGGCUAUGAAAUUAAAAUAAAACCCAAUCUAUAACCAAGGGCAUUGCUUCAAUUUCAUGCGGUAGCAGUAAGUUUUAAUUGGCUCCUGUACAAACUACGGUAGGCCACUGCUCUUCUGGUAUCUUACUUCUGAUGGGUUAGAAUGGUUUUGUUUGUAAUUUUAUACAACUGUUUAUCUCAAAUUGUGCCAUCAUAUGUGGUUUAAGUGAGAUUGAAAAAAUAUAUGUACUUAUUUAGGUAAAACAUGAACCAACAAUAAAUUUGCUAAGGUUUAUAUACUUGGUUUGUAUUCUUUCCAUCUUACGAUAUACAUACAAAAAUUUGUUUUGGUAAGUCAUAUUGUGUACAUGUUAUUUAAAAUAUUUUUAUUUUAAAAUUAAAUUAGGUUAAAUUUAUUGAUUUAAAAACUAUUACAACAUUUAUUUAAGUUAACAAUGUCUCAAAAUAGUAAAGUGUACUAAUGUCUUUCAUGCAAGUAUUAUUUAGGUUAAAAUUGAGAAGUGAGAAAAGUUAAAGUAAACAUAUCACUUUUUGUAAAUUAAAAACAAUAUAAUUCGGAAAAAUAAUUUGAUCAGGCAAUAGUCAUGCUAGAUAUGCAAUGGAUUCAUUUUAUAGAACUAAAACACAAUGCAUGGCUAUAUUUUCAGAAAAAAUACAAUUCUGUACUUGUGUAGAGAACACAUCACAUUAAUGCAUUACAUAUAUGUCUGUAAAAUAUUUUUAUUUUGAAACAUUAAUUCUCUCUAGGCAUUUUUAUUUAUUAUAAAAGAAACCUUUUACUUAGUAAAAGGAGGUACAAUAGUAUCGUUGGUGAGGUAUUCCAUGUAGAAAUGUUGUUGUUAGAAUGAAUAGUAAAUAGUCCGAUUUGUAACAGUACGACAAUACUCAGUUCCAGUUCCGUAGUAGACUGUUCUCACUCUAUGUGCUUUAGCCUCGUACAACGACUGCACAAAUGCUUCAUGGCAGGAUCACACCAAGAUCGACGCUUGGUUGUUUACGGUUACUGUUACCAUUUAGUCAUAAGCUGCUAUGUCUUUGUGUACAUACAAUAAGUGUUCGAAUGUUGUAAACCCGAUCAAGAUUUUAUAUCAAAAUUCCAGCUUUUCUUAAAAUGUGAUAUUGUUAGUACUUACAGAUGUUGAAUGUGAUGUUCACCAUGUAAACAUAAUAUAUAGCCAACAAUGAUAACAUCCCUAAUGUAUGAAAUGUUUUAGGGAUUUUUAACUUAUUUUUGUGGGGUGUUUACUUUUGAAAUAUUUGUAUAACAUUUACAUUUUUAUUGUUCCCAUUCACACUCAAAUUUGACUGUUAAAAAACUUUUGUUUUUUAUGAAAAUUGUUGUGUUAAAAUAAGUAAAUUUUAUUCAAAAAUAUAG